Molecule: long non-coding RNA, 394 nt
Filed under: Setaria viridis
Lineage: Eukaryota; Viridiplantae; Streptophyta; Magnoliopsida; Poales; Poaceae
Description: long non-coding RNA (SVIR_LNC000039)
Source: RNAcentral
UUGUUUUGUGUUCAUUUUUAAAGAAAACAUUCACAGUUAACAGAACUACAUCCAUUUCAACAGAACUAUAUAUCACAAAGCUGUACAUGUUUAAGCUACAUUUAUCACAGAAUAUUCUUAUCAUAAACUACAUUUUUAAACCUAUGUCACAUAGUGCCAAUCAUAUUAUAAAACUAUAUAUUUUCUUUCGGAGUAGCUUUAGGGGCACCUAAAGCAUAUGCGCUAUAGAUCUCUAAAUUCGUAAAAAGAAAAUGCCUGACAGUAAAUCUGUUAUCCUAGAAAAGGUUGAUAUAACUGACACUAGUGUGGGUGUUGCAGACUUUGUAUCUAUACUUGAGUAGUACUCCCUCCAUCCCAAAUUAGAGAGAUUGAAAAAAAUGAGAGCCGUCCAUCC